UACCUCAUGUGGUUAUCGGUUUUAGAAAGCGAAUAACUAAAGCAGCAAUGCGCGUUUGGGAGGGAUCUCGCGUCCCAUCAGCUAGUUGGUGAGGUACGGCUCACCAAGGCGACGACGGGUACGGGACUGAGGAGGGUCGGCCCCCCACAAUGGAACUGAAACACGGUCCAUACACCUACGGGUGGCAGCAGUAGGGAAUAUUGCUCAAUGGGCGAAAGCCUGAAGCAGCAACGCCGCGUGUGCGAUGAAGGCCUUCGGGUCGUAAAGCACUUUUCUAAGAGAUGAGAAAGGACAGUAUCUUAGGAAUAAGUCUCGGCUAACUACGUG
This 327-nucleotide ribosomal RNA is filed under the name uncultured bacterium. RNAcentral describes it as "bacterial SSU rRNA". It matches the Rfam family "Bacterial small subunit ribosomal RNA", at positions 167 to 507 of the family's 1533-position model. The record is from RNAcentral.